GGGGAAUUUUGGACAAUGGACGAAAGUCUGAUCCAGCGACGCCGCGUGGAGGACGAAGGUUUUCGGAUCGUAAACUCCUUUUACAGGGGACGAAAGCGGGCAACCGUUUGACGGUACUCUGUGAAUAAGCCACGGCUAACUACGUGCCAGCAGCCGCGGUAAUACGUAGGUGGCGAGCGUUACUCGGAAUUACUAGGCGUAAAGCGCGUGUAGGCGGGAGCUUAAGUCUGUCGUGAAAGCUCAGGGCUCAACCCGGAAAUGCCGGCAGAAACUGGGCUUCUUGAGUGCGGUAGAGGAGAUCGGAAUUCCAGGUGUAGCGGUGAAAUGCGUAGAUAUCUGGAAGAACGCCAAAGGCGAAGGCAGAUCUCUGGGCCGUUACUGACGCUGAGACGCGAAAGCUAGGGGAGCAAAC
RNAcentral lists this ribosomal RNA (412 nucleotides) under uncultured bacterium. Its description in RNAcentral is "bacterial SSU rRNA". It matches the Rfam family "Bacterial small subunit ribosomal RNA", at positions 356 to 773 of the family's 1533-position model. The record is from RNAcentral.